CAGGCCUAACACAUGCAAGUCGAGCGGAUGAUGAGGAGCUUGCUCCUCUGAUUCAGCGGCGGACGGGUGAGUAACACGUGGGCAACCUGCCCUUGAGACUGGGAUAACUUCGGGAAACCGGAGCUAAUACCGGAUAAUAUUUGGAACCUCCUGGUUCCUUAUUAAAAGAUGGUUCCGGCUAUCACUCAAGGAUGGGCCCGCGGCGCAUUAGCUAGUUGGUGAGGUAACGGCUCACCAAGGCGACGAUGCGUAGCCGACCUGAGAGGGUGAUCGGCCACACUGGGACUGAGACACGGCCAGACUCCUACGGGAGGCAGCAGUAGGGAAUCUUCCACAAUGGACGAAAGUCUGAUGGAGCAACGCCGCGUGAGUGAUGAAGGCCUUCGGGUCGUAAAGCUCUGUUGUUAGGGAAGAACAAGUGCGAGAGUAACUGCUCGCACCUUGACGGUACCUAACCAGAAAGCCACGGCUAACUACGUGCCAGCAGCCGCGGUAAUACGUAGGUGGCAAGCGUUAUCCGGAAUUAUUGGGCGUAAAGCGCGCGCAGGUGGUUUCUUAAGUCUGAUGUGAAAGCCCACGGCUCAACCGUGGAGGGUCAUUGGAAACUGGGGAACUUGAGUGCAGAAGAGGAAAGUGGAAUUCCAAGUGUAGCGGUGAAAUGCGUAGAGAUUUGGAGGAACACCAGUGGCGAAGGCGACUUUCUGGUCUGUAACUGACACUGAGGCGCGAAAGCGUGGGGAGCAAACAGGA
This 750-nucleotide ribosomal RNA is filed under the name uncultured bacterium. RNAcentral's name for it is "bacterial SSU rRNA". It matches the Rfam family "Bacterial small subunit ribosomal RNA", at positions 43 to 777 of the family's 1533-position model. The record is from RNAcentral.